UGAAUGUGAUGUUAAUCUGAGACAUUUCUUGCCUCAUUCAUUGCCAAGGUUCAUUGAGUUGGUCUCAACCGUCAGUCAGCUAUCCUCUUUAUCUUCAUCACACAUCCUGUGUCCCUCCUGAAGAUGAAGGCUCCUUGGAAGAGGAUGCCCUUCCCCUAUACAGGAAGAUGCGUCUUCUGUUAAGAAAACAUGAGUAUGAGUGUUGUGACAAGUUCUCAAAAGAGACAAUAAACCAAAGCAAGGAGAAUGGACAUGGGUGG
Molecule: small RNA, 260 nt
Filed under: Mus pahari (shrew mouse)
Lineage: Eukaryota; Metazoa; Chordata; Mammalia; Rodentia; Muridae
Description: sRNA (MGP_PahariEiJ_G0008306.1)
Rfam family: 7SK RNA (bases 2-196)
About the family: 7SK was discovered as an abundant small nuclear RNA in the mid-70s but a possible function has only recently been suggested. Two independent studies have found that 7SK RNA binds the CDK9/cyclin T complex (known as elongation factor P-TEFb). P-TEFb activates transcription by phosphorylating the C-terminal domain of RNA polymerase II.
Source: RNAcentral